Molecule: non-coding RNA, 27 nt
Filed under: Mus musculus (house mouse)
Lineage: Eukaryota; Metazoa; Chordata; Mammalia; Rodentia; Muridae
Source: RNAcentral
UGGUUUCCUUUGAUGAGGCAUAGGUAA